GACGUAGGGCGCAAGCGUUUGUCCGGAUUUAUUGGGCGUAAAGAGCUCGUAGGCGGCCUGUCGCGUCGACCGUGAAAACCCGCAGCUCAACUGCGGGCUUGCGGUCGAUACGGGCAGGCUGGAGUUCGGUAGGGGAGACUGGAAUUCCUGGUGUAGCGGUGAAAUGCGCAGAUAUCAGGAGGAACACCGGUGGCGAAGGCGGGUCUCUGGGCCGAUACUGACGCUGAGGAGCGAAAGCGUGGGGAGCGAACAGG
RNAcentral lists this ribosomal RNA (254 nucleotides) under uncultured bacterium. Its description in RNAcentral is "partial 16S ribosomal RNA". It matches the Rfam family "Bacterial small subunit ribosomal RNA", at positions 524 to 776 of the family's 1533-position model. The record is from RNAcentral.